UACGUAGGGGGCAAGCGUUGUCCGGAGUUACUGGGCGUAAAGGGCCCGCAGGCGGUCUGUUACGUUGCCUCUGACAAUGCCUCGCUUAACGAGGCAGGGUGGGGCAAAACGGGCAGACUUGAGGCAGAGAGAGGGACAGGGAAUUCCGGGUGGAGUGGUGAAAUGCGUAGAUAUCCGGAGGAACACCAAAGGCGAAGGCACUGUCCUGGCUCUGGACUGACGCUGAGGGGCGAAAGCUAGGGGAGCGAACGGG
RNAcentral lists this ribosomal RNA (253 nucleotides) under uncultured prokaryote. RNAcentral's name for it is "partial 16S ribosomal RNA". It matches the Rfam family "Bacterial small subunit ribosomal RNA", at positions 524 to 776 of the family's 1533-position model. The record is from RNAcentral.